Molecule: long non-coding RNA, 227 nt
Organism: Enhydra lutris kenyoni (northern sea otter)
Lineage: Eukaryota; Metazoa; Chordata; Mammalia; Carnivora; Mustelidae
Exons: 3
Source: RefSeq, a predicted model, not a curated record
GACCAAUGAUGAGUAUCCUGGGGUGUCUGAAUCAAUGAUUUUGAUUAAACCCUAUAACUCUGAGGUCAGAAACCUAGUUAAUGCCUAUAUGGUUAAUCAGCUUACAGCAGAGAAUAACUGUAAGACAGCAGACUUUACUCAUUUUCUAAGAAACAACAUCUUGGCAGUUAGCUCUGUGUGUAAAGACCGUAGACAGAAAUAAUGAACACAAAGCCGAUUUAAUCAUU